AGUUGCAUUUAGAAAUAACUGGCGCGUCAGCACGAAAUCAAAUUGCAAAAAUUCAUGAAAAACAUUUUGCCGAGUGGGUCAUAGCUGAAGUAGAAAGACAAAGAUUUGCAGGUUUGCCAGUGCCAGAAGAGAUAAGUAUUCACUCACAUGGACCGCACUAUACAGUUAAACAAUGCAGCGGAUACCGUGUAAAUGGAUGUUUAUUCCAACGGGUCGGGCUUGAGGGGGAGAGAGUUACCCAAAAUAGUGGGGUCAUGGCUGUAUUCUCUCAAGAAUGUUAUUCAAGCUCAACUGAUCAAAAUCCGGUACUUGGUGAUGUAGUUUAUUACGGACAAUUAGAAGAUAUUGUGGAGAUAUUCUAUGCGUACGGUACCAAAAAUGUACGUAGUUAUGUGAUGUUUAAGGUCCGUUGGUGUCGUGCAGACAGAACUAGGGAUGCAUAUGGUUUUCAUCUUGUAAAUUUAGAUAAGGAGAUAUAUCCCGACAUGAAGUUUAUGUUCGCAAAUCAGGCUACUCAGUGCUUUUACGUCAAAGAUCCUAAGGUGCAGAAUGUCUGGGUCAUAUUGUAUAAGGAGCCGAGGACUCUUGUUCAGCUUGCUCUUGAUGAAAAUCCGGACAGUUCCGAUGACCCUAAUGAGACGGAAGGAGAAAUUUUUAUUAAUUACUCAUACCCCCAAAAUGUCAAUUUUAAUAUGUAUACCUCGCAAAUUCGACUUGAUAUCUGUAAUGUAGGAGAUUGAAUACAAAGAUCCUUAUGCAAAUUCGACUUGAUAUCUUGUAUGCAUUUAUUAAAUAUUUCAAUUAUGUUAGAUUAACAAUUUAAGUUGCAGAUGAGCCAAAGAGUUAGGAGGCUAUCUUUUCCUCGGGAUCGAGAAGGUCCAUCAUCCGGAUCGUCCUCA
Molecule: long non-coding RNA, 899 nt
Organism: Asparagus officinalis (garden asparagus)
Lineage: Eukaryota; Viridiplantae; Streptophyta; Magnoliopsida; Asparagales; Asparagaceae
Exons: 3
Source: RefSeq, a predicted model, not a curated record